UACGUAGGGUGCAAGCGUUGUCCGGAAUUAUUGGGCGUAAAGAGCUCGUAGGCGGUUUGUUACGUCGGCUGUGAAAACCUGGGGCUCAACCCCGGGCCGGCAGCCGAUACGGGCAGACUAGAAUUCGGUAGGGGAGACUGGAAUUCCUGGUGUAGCGGUGAAAUGCGCAGAUAUCAGGAGGAACACCGGUGGUGUAGACGGCUCUCUGGACCGUAACUGACGCUGAGACACGAAAGCGUGGGUAGCAAACAGG
RNAcentral lists this ribosomal RNA (253 nucleotides) under uncultured bacterium. Its description in RNAcentral is "partial 16S ribosomal RNA". It matches the Rfam family "Bacterial small subunit ribosomal RNA", at positions 524 to 776 of the family's 1533-position model. The record is from RNAcentral.